This is a long non-coding RNA of Rhinichthys klamathensis goyatoka, 934 nucleotides long. RefSeq lists it as uncharacterized. The record is from RefSeq and is a predicted model, not a curated record. Lineage: Eukaryota; Metazoa; Chordata; Actinopteri; Cypriniformes; Leuciscidae. The transcript has 2 exons.
AUAAAAACGUUUACAUAAAACAAUGAGGAAAACAUGAAGCAUUUUAAGCUCGACAGUUAGACCAAAACAAAUAUGAAAAUUAAUUUGCAACCAAUCUCAAAACUAACAACUAAACAAAGAAUUAAUUACAGUGCAACAAAAAUGCAAUUGUUAAUAUUUAUAAUUAUUUCGAAACAAAUUAUUAUGCAUGUUUUAUUUAAUUGGUCAAAAAAGCAGAAAUAAAUGGUUAUUAAAAUUGAUUUGUUUUCAUUUGUGUCCAAGAGACCGGCUCUAACAUGUCACGACAAAUACUCACAAAACCUCAGCAAUCAUUAGUGUCUAAUUGGAAUAUGGACUUGAAUAACGUUAAUCAAACAGAUAGUUGCAAGCCUACAAUUAGUAUGUGAAAUUCAGGUAUUAAGACGUGAUGAUUGUUUAAAAAAAAACAUUUUUGUACAAAAAAAAAAAAAUGCUGUUGGUGCUGGAGGUUUAAUAUUUCGAUCAAAAUGAUGUUCACAGCUUUCACCCCACCACAAUCUAAUCGUGUGAGCAACACUUUCACAUGUCCUCGUGAAUCCCCCACCUCCCAACAACAAACAUCCACCUGUCCGUUCCAGAACGCCUGGAGCUCACUGUGUGUUCAUGUUGUGGAUGUCAGUGGAACUUUGAGUUUGCAUUGCUGUCUUUUCUACUCAUUUCUACCGGUAACUCUUUCUAUUCAUAGCCAAAUAUGAGGCGGGCCUUCCUGUGUCUGUGUGCCAAUCACAGACCAGCAUGGUCCUGGUCUGAUGGUCGCCCAGCGUGGUUUUAUACAUGCACAUUUUUUUAAAAGAACUUUUGUUUUUUCUUUGUUUUUUCUUUUUUUCCUCAUUGGUUGAUUUGUGUAUAAAGAGGCAAAGUUCUGUCACUAAUAUGCCACUCUAUUCAAAAUAAAACCUGAUUGGUUAUCUCUGUA